This 468-nucleotide ribosomal RNA is filed under the name uncultured bacterium. RNAcentral's name for it is "partial 16S ribosomal RNA". It matches the Rfam family "Bacterial small subunit ribosomal RNA", at positions 28 to 507 of the family's 1533-position model. The record is from RNAcentral.
GACGAACGCUGGCGGCGUGCUUAACACAUGCAAGUCGAACAGAAAGGCCCUGCUUUUGUGGGGUGCUCGAGUGGCGAACGGGUGAGUAACACGUGAGUAACCUGCCCUUGACUUUGGGAUGACUUCAGGAAACUGGGGCUAAUACCGGAUAGGAGCUCCUGCUGCAUGGUGGGGGUUGGAAAGUUUCGGCGGUUGGGGAUGGACUCGCGGCUUAUCAGCUUGUUGGUGGGGUAGUGGCUUACCAAGGCUUUGACGGGUAGCCGGCCUGAGAGGGUGACCGGCCACAUUGGGACUGAGAUACGGCCCAGACUCCUACGGGAGGCAGCAGUGGGGAAUAUUGCACAAUGGGCGGAAGCCUGAUGCAGCAACGCCGCGUGCGGGAUGACGGCCUUCGGGUUGUAAACCGCUUUCGCCUGUGACGAAGCGUGAGUGACGGUAAUGGGUAAAGAAGCACCGGCUAACUACGUG